This 322-nucleotide ribosomal RNA is filed under the name Escherichia coli. RNAcentral's name for it is "partial 23S ribosomal RNA". It matches the Rfam family "Bacterial large subunit ribosomal RNA", at positions 1 to 350 of the family's 2925-position model. The record is from RNAcentral. Lineage: Bacteria; Pseudomonadati; Pseudomonadota; Gammaproteobacteria; Enterobacterales; Enterobacteriaceae.
GGGUUGUGAGGUUAAGCGACUAAGCGUACACGGUGGAUGCCCUGGCAGUCAGAGGCGAUGAAGGACGUGCUAAUCUGCGAUAAGCGUCGGUAAGGUGAUAUGAACCGUUAUAACCGGCGAUUUCCGAAUGGGGAAACCCAGUGUGAUUCGUCACACUAUCAUUAACUGAAUCCAUAGGUUAAUGAGGCGAACCGGGGGAACUGAAACAUCUAAGUACCCCGAGGAAAAGAAAUCAACCGAGAUUCCCCCAGUAGCGGCGAGCGAACGGGGAGCAGCCCAGAGCCUGAAUCAGUGUGUGUGUUAGUGGAAGCGUCUGGAAAGG